Long non-coding RNA from Pseudoliparis swirei, 3554 nucleotides. RefSeq lists it as uncharacterized. The transcript is spliced from 4 exons. Lineage: Eukaryota; Metazoa; Chordata; Actinopteri; Perciformes; Liparidae. The record is from RefSeq and is a predicted model, not a curated record.
CUGGAGCCGCUUCGUCUCCUCCUUCCCCCAGCGGGCAGGGCUCAAGCGGAGCGCAUGGGAGCUCCCCCUCUCUCUCUCUCUCUCUCUCUCCCCUCUCCCUCGUCUCUUCACAGCGGGGUGAGGGAGCAGCGCUGUGGGCGGUGGAGGAGGUGCGUGGCGGUCCAGGAAGCUCUCAUUCCGCUUCGCCCCGAGUCUCCCCGUCUGGUGCGCGUGUGUCUCCUUCUCCUUCCCCUGGCUCCUCUCUCCUUCUCUCCUCCCCUCUCAUUGAUUCCUCUUUCCGCCUGCUCUCUCCCCUCUUAUCGCUCCUUCUUUCCGCUUCCUUUUUUGUUGUUGUACGCCUCUUCUUCUUCACCAGUCGGGAUAUUUAAAAAAAGCUGCACGCAUCGACAGGUGAGGACCCCCCGGAGCUAGGAAGGGGCCCUUAUGACAACAUGCAUCAAUCAAUCAACAGAGCCUCCUCCUCCUCGUGGUUGUGCUCUGAUCCCUCUCAGUAAACUCCUCUCAUUGACGGUGUGAAACACGUGGGCUCGCGUUGUGUUCCACACAAUAUGGCUUCACAUCGCACAUUGAACCGGCAACCUAAAUAAAGUUUUAUGACCAACUGGAGACAGCCUCAUUUAAAAUGUGUACAUAGACCGAGACGACCGCCGCACGGCGGCCGCAGCCAUCAAACCCAGCCGCUGUGCCGGGCCUUGGAGUUUGGACUUCAAACCGGACCACGUGCUCACUGGAAGCCGAGCAACGGCGUCCCAUCCAAUCAGAUAACGCCCACCGUGCUCAGCACUGGGAUUAGAGUACGGACACACGGUGCAAUGGGCGUCAACUCAAACACCAGUAAGAAGAACAAAUAAACAGUCACAACUGUGUCCUGCAAGAGUGCAACUGCCUACGUAAUUACACAACCUCUCUCACUCCUCACGAAGCAGAGGAGGCCUUUCCACUGGAAAAAAAAUUUAAAAAUAAACUUGGAAGGCGUAUUAAAUGAACAUCGAAUCCCCCGCCGCGGCUCCCGGGAUGAUGGGUUAAAACGAGCGAGCGGUGGCAGGCUCGGCGUCCGCGUCGAGGAUUUCAAAAUAUUUUUUUCUCAACUGAAAAAUGUUUGCCUGCGUACGUGCGUUAAAAAAAAAAUAGAGAAGAAAAGCAAAAGUGAGACAAAAAAGAGAAAUAACAGUCCACACACACACACACACAGUGCCAUGUAACUUCAACGGUCACAUGGCACGACGCCACUGCUCCUCAGCCACUAAGCGGUUAAUAUGCAAAGCUCCGUGUGAGGGGGGCGUGGCUUCGUUUAGCACAGAUGAGGGAGGGGAGGAAAGAGUGUGUGUGUGUGUGUGUGUAUAGAGAGAGAGGUGAGGUGGCUGCAGAGGCACAGGUGUCUGAACACUCCAUUACUUCCUCGUCAAAGUGCCCGUCUCAGUGCGCCGCCGCCGCGCUCAUUUCUUGCCCGUGACACCGUGGGAGUCUCUCUCUCCGCUAACCUGCAUCCCCAUUAGGGAAAUGAGAGCUCCGAGAUAAGCAAUUAAGUGAAGAUGACUAGAGGGCCAGCAGCACCCACUGGCACGUCAGAGUCCAUACACACACACACACACACACAUGGAAGUUAAGCCAAUGUGUGCUGAUUUACUUUGAUACACGGCCAAUGUACCUCAAUGUCGUCAUUCAGCAUGAUAUAAAUGCUCGUUGAUCAAUUAAACCAACAAUUAAAAUAAAAACAGCCCUUGCCAACCACAAUAGUGACGCGCUGUGAUUGGAUCUCUCGCAUCCAUCGGACGGCGACCAGCGUUUCAUAGUACAGGGGUCUUACACAUUUUGACUGAUGGAUUUCCAGGACUUUAAACCAAAUGUCCAUGACCAAACUGAAAUCUCGGUAAAAACAUGACAAAUUUAGAACAUUUUGUGUAUUGAGAGCAUAUGCCGGCUUAUAUUUUGAGCAUCUUUCUUUAAAAAACAUAUUAAUUAUUUCAAACUCGGUGUAAAUGAACACGUGAUCAUAACACAUUUCCAUGACUUUUCCAAAACUUUUAUGAUUUAAGAUUUUUCCAUGACUUUUCCAGGCCUGGAAAUGACCAUUUUAAAAUUCCAUGACUUUUCCAGGUUUUCCAUGACCGAACGAACCCUGAUAGUAACAGAUUAGCAUGUCGUCUUAUCCGUCAGAUUGUGCAUGAAUGAUGCAUUCUGGGAGCCAUUUGGACUCCUGAAGGUUGAGCGAGUGAAUCUGUUUUCACACAGUUUUACAGAAAAAGAAAGAAGAAAAAAAGGUGUUGCUAUCAGCUGUUAAUUAGCGAACGCUCGUGCAGGUGUUGGAUGUCAGACCAUUAAAAACCGUUGCCCUCUCCGACGCCUUCACGGGAUACCAAAAGGUGAGAUAAACAAACGGCGCCCGAUGGCCUCGGCUUCCACCUUUCCUCGGAACACAUUACUCGGCUUCGUCGCCGUCAUCGCCGGAUCUCACGUCCACGGCGCCGCUACGUCUCGGCGCAAAGGGGUCGGGACCACGCUAAUGAGGCUCGCGGGCCAGUUUGGCGGCGGCGAUGGAGCGAGAGGAGACACGGUGCACGGCAACGCUUCCACGACCAAUGAAAAGACAGCGCCGUGCGGGAAGGAUCCUUUAUUCGGGGGCCCGGCGUGACGGCGCGGCCUCCAGGACGCUGCUGAACGUCGUCACGGAGCAUCAUCACGACUGAUCUGCUCCACUGUGACCAGAAAGACGUUCAACAAAUGUAGAAACUCGAAAAACAUACAACUUCAGUUGCAGAAUCAUGGUUAAAAAAAAUGAGGUGUUUAUUUUCUCAGUUGCCUGAGGAUGCGUGUUGUCGUGAGACGCUCCAGUGAUGCUGUCGUUCACUUUCUUGGCUACAAUAAACCAAUUUAAAUGAUAUAUUAUUGAUUGCAAACUAGAGUAGCUCCAUUUACAAAUUCCAAAUUCACUAUGACGAUUCAAAGGUAUAAACAUAAUUCAAUUCAGUUUAUUUUGAAUAGCCCAAUAUCACAAAUUUGCCUUCAGAGGGCUUUACAAUCUGUACACAUAAGGCAUCCCUGACCUUUGACCUCACAUCGGAUCAGGAAAAACUCCCUAAAAGAAAUAGAAAAAAUCCUUUCAGUGGGUAAAAAAGUGAAGAACUCUUCAGGAGAGAAACAGAGGAGGAUCCCUCUCCAGGAUGGACAGGAGAAUAGACGUCAUGUGACCAGAAGGAAUCUACACAAUUAAAUAAGCACAUUCAAUGAGUAUGACAGAGUGUAUGAAUAGUUACUAAUAACUUUCCUCCACCUCUCAAAAUGUGCAACAUCCCCUCUUUCUCUCCUCUUUCUUUUCACAAGCUAUGAACAGCGCUCAGCACGAGCCUAUUUAUUUAUUAACCUCUGCCCUCUCCUUUUUUAAGUUGAUAACCUGUUUUUUUUAAACUAUACCUAAUACUGUGUAUAUACUACCACCUUAAAUACAGUGUAUUUUUAUUUUUCUUCUAAUUAUUAUAGUGUGUUUGCCCUGCAAAACAAUUCCAAUGUGUCUGGACUGUUGGUCGAGGCAUAAAAGGCAAAUAAAAAACCUUGAA